UACGGAGGAUCCGAGCGUUAUCCGGAUUUAUUGGGUUUAAAGGGUGCGCAGGCGGGGGAUUAAGUCGGCGGUGAAAUUUUGCAGCUCAACUGUAAAAGUGCCUUCGAUACUGGUUUUCUUGAGUGUAGCUGAAGUAGGCGGAAUUUGUGGUGUAGCGGUGAAAUGCAUAGAUAUCACGAGGAACUCCGAUUGCGCAGGCAGCUUACUAAACUACUACUGACGCUCAUGCACGAAGGCGUGGGGAUCAAACAGGAUUAGAUACCCCCGUA
This 269-nucleotide ribosomal RNA is filed under the name uncultured prokaryote. RNAcentral describes it as "partial 16S ribosomal RNA". It matches the Rfam family "Bacterial small subunit ribosomal RNA", at positions 524 to 792 of the family's 1533-position model. The record is from RNAcentral.